Molecule: ribosomal RNA, 314 nt
Filed under: uncultured bacterium
Lineage: Bacteria
Description: bacterial SSU rRNA
Rfam family: Bacterial small subunit ribosomal RNA
Source: RNAcentral
GAUGAACGCUAGCGGCAGGCUUAACACAUGCAAGUCGAGGGGCAUCGGGAGGGAAGCUUGCUUUCCUUGCCGGCGACCGGCGCACGGGUGAGUAACACGUAUGCAACCUGCCCUCUUCAGGGGGACAACCUUCCGAAAGGGAGGCUAAUCCCGCGUAUAUCGGUUUCGGGCAUCCGAGAUCGAGGAAAGAUUCAUCGGAAGAGGAUGGGCAUGCGGCGCAUUAGCUUGACGGCGGGGUAACGGCCCACCGUGGCGACGAUGCGUAGGGGUUCUGAGAGGAAGGUCCCCCACACUGGUACUGAGACACGGACCAG